CAUGGCUCAGGACGAACGCUGGCGGCGUGCCUAAUACAUGCAACGUCGAGCGGAAGAAGGGAGCUUGCUCCCGGAAGUCAGCGGCGGACGGGUGAGUAACACGUAGGUAACCUGCCCCUUAGACUGGGAUAACUCCGGGAAACCGGAGCUAAUACGGGAUAAUAAAGAGAAUCACCUGAUUCUCUUUUGAAAGACGGUUUCGGCUGUCACUAAGGGAUGGGCCUGCGGCGCAUUAGCUAGUUGGUAAGGUAACGGCUUACCAAGGCGACGAUGCGUAGCCGACCUGAGAGGGUGAUCGGCCACACUGGGACUGAGACACGGCCCAGACUCCUACGGGAGGCAGCAGUAGGGAAUCUUCCGCAAUGGACGAAAGUCUGACGGAGCAACGCCGCGUGAGUGAGGAAGGCCUUCGGGUCGUAAAGCUCUGUUGUGAGGGAAGAACAAGUACCGGCGUAACUACCGGUACCUUGACGGUACCUCACCAGAAAGCCACGGCUAACUACGUGCCAGCAGCCGCGGUAAUACGUU
Molecule: ribosomal RNA, 528 nt
Rfam family: Bacterial small subunit ribosomal RNA